RNAcentral lists this ribosomal RNA (427 nucleotides) under uncultured bacterium. Its description in RNAcentral is "bacterial SSU rRNA". It matches the Rfam family "Bacterial small subunit ribosomal RNA", at positions 355 to 775 of the family's 1533-position model. The record is from RNAcentral.
UCGAGAAUUUUUCUCAAUGGGGGCAACCCUGAAGGAGCGACGCCGCGUGGAGGAUGAAGGUUUUCGGAUUGUAAACUCCUGUCAUUGGUGAACAAGGCCCGCGGUUAACUGCCGUUGGGUUUGCUAGUAGCCGAAGAGGAAGGGACGGCUAACUCUGUGCCAGCAGCCGCGGUAAUACAGAGGUCCCGAGCGUUGUUCGGAUUCAUUGGGCGUAAAGGGUGCGUAGGCGGCGGGGCAAGUCUGAUGUGAAAUCCUGGGGCUCAACCCCAGAACUGCAUUGGAUACUGCUUUGCUAGAGUACUGGAGAGGGAACUGGAAUUUACGGUGUAGCAGUGAAAUGCGUAGAGAUCGUAAGGAAGGCCAGUGGCGAAGGCGAGUUCCUGGACAGUUACUGACGCUGAGGCACGAAGGCCAGGGGAGCAAACGG